CGACCCCAGGUCCAAGGUGGAAAAACCCCCUGAGUCGAAGCAUAUCAAU
RNAcentral lists this ribosomal RNA (49 nucleotides) under Blumea balsamifera. Its description in RNAcentral is "partial 28S ribosomal RNA". The record is from RNAcentral. Lineage: Eukaryota; Viridiplantae; Streptophyta; Magnoliopsida; Asterales; Asteraceae.